Molecule: transfer RNA, 83 nt
Filed under: Candidatus Tokpelaia sp. JSC189
Lineage: Bacteria; Pseudomonadati; Pseudomonadota; Alphaproteobacteria; Hyphomicrobiales
Description: tRNA-Leu
Rfam family: tRNA
About the family: Transfer RNA (tRNA) molecules are approximately 80 nucleotides in length. Their secondary structure includes four short double-helical elements and three loops (D, anti-codon, and T loops).
Source: RNAcentral
GCGGAUGUGGCGAAAUUGGUAGACGCACCAGAUUUAGGUUCUGGCGGAAGACCGUGGGGGUUCGAGUCCCUCCAUCCGCACCA